This 433-nucleotide ribosomal RNA is filed under the name uncultured bacterium. Its description in RNAcentral is "partial 16S ribosomal RNA". It matches the Rfam family "Bacterial small subunit ribosomal RNA", at positions 28 to 507 of the family's 1533-position model. The record is from RNAcentral.
GACGAACGCUGGCGGCAUGCCUAACACAUGCAAGUCGAACGAGACGUGCUGUUUCCGGUGCCCGCGGGUUCGGAAAGCGUUAGGAACUGGCCCUAGGUUGGGAAUCAACACCUGAAAAGGGUGCCAAUAACGGCUAAGGUCUUGGGACCAAAGAUUGAUCGCCCUUGGGUGGGCCCGCGUGUGUUUAUCUCGUGGGUAGGGUAAAAGCAUAUCCAGGGGCCGCGCCAUGGCGGGUGUGAGAGGGUGAUCAGCCACACUGGGACUGAGACACGGCCCAGACUCCUACGGGAGGCAGCAGUGGGGAAUAUUGGACAAUGGGCGAGAGUCUGAUCGAGCAGUGCCGCGUGAGUGAUGAAGGCAUGAGUGUUGUACAGCUCUUUUACCCGGGAUGGUAAUGACAGUACCGGGAGAAUAAGCACCGGCUAACUCCGUG